UACGGAGGGUGCAAGCGUUAAUCGGAUUUAUUGGGCGUAAAGGGGGCGCAGGCGGGGAGAUAAGUCAGAUGUGAAGGCCCGGAGCUCAACUUCGGAACAGCAUUUGAAACUAUUUCUCUUGAGGGUAGGCGGAGAAAACGGAAUUCCACAAGUAGCGGUGAAAUGCGUAGAUAUGUGGAAGAACACCCGUGGCGAAAGCGGUUUUCUAGCUUAUACCUGACGCUGAGGCCCGAAAGCUAGGGGAGCAAACAGG
This 253-nucleotide ribosomal RNA is filed under the name uncultured bacterium. RNAcentral describes it as "partial 16S ribosomal RNA". It matches the Rfam family "Bacterial small subunit ribosomal RNA", at positions 524 to 776 of the family's 1533-position model. The record is from RNAcentral.